RNAcentral lists this unclassified non-coding RNA (315 nucleotides) under uncultured fungus. RNAcentral's name for it is "partial contains 5.8S ribosomal RNA and internal transcribed spacer 2". The stretch from base 1 to 133 matches the Rfam family "5.8S ribosomal RNA", at positions 22 to 154 of the family's 154-position model. Lineage: Eukaryota; Fungi. The record is from RNAcentral.
UGGUUCUGGCAUCGAUGAAGAACGCAGCGAAAUGCGAUAAGUAAUGUGAAUUGCAGAAUUCAGUGAAUCAUCGAAUCUUUGAACGCACAUUGCGCCCGGUGGUAUUCCGCCGGGCAUGCCUGUUCGAGCGUCAUUUAAACCAAUCUAGCAUAAUGCUUAGGUCUUGGGCUUCGCCUUUUGGCGGGCCUUAAAAUCAGUGGCGGCGCUAUCCGGCUCUAAGCGUAGUAAUACUUCUCGCUAUAGAUGUUAGGUGGUGUCUUGCCAAUAACUUUCAUUUUAAUGGUUGACCUCGGAUCAGGUAGGGAUACCCGCUGA